GCGAAGCAGUGAUGUGGAGCAAAACUCAAAAAAAUAAGUCUCAGUUCGGAUUGAAGGCUGAAAUUCGCCUUCAUGAAGCCGGAAUUGCUAGUAAUGACAGGUCAGCAUACUGCCGUGAAUACGUUCCCGGGGCCUUGUACACACCGCCCGUCACACCAUGAGAGUUGGGAAUACCCGAAGCCUGUGAGCUAACUUUUAGAGGCAGCAGUCGAAGGUAGAAUCAAUGAUUGGGGUGAAGUCGUAACAAGGUACC
RNAcentral lists this ribosomal RNA (253 nucleotides) under uncultured bacterium. RNAcentral describes it as "partial 16S ribosomal RNA". It matches the Rfam family "Bacterial small subunit ribosomal RNA", at positions 1249 to 1500 of the family's 1533-position model. The record is from RNAcentral.